RNAcentral lists this small RNA (117 nucleotides) under Macaca mulatta (Rhesus monkey). RNAcentral's name for it is "Metazoan signal recognition particle RNA (ENSMMUG00000058007.1)". Lineage: Eukaryota; Metazoa; Chordata; Mammalia; Primates; Cercopithecidae. The record is from Rfam by way of RNAcentral. RNAcentral also lists the same sequence under 1 other name.
GCUGGGCGUGGUGGCUCACGCCUGUAAUCCCAGCAUUUUGGGAGGCUGAGGCAGGAGGAUCACCUGAGGUCAGGAGUUUGAGACCAGCCUGACCAACAUGGAGAAACCCCGUCUCUA